Long non-coding RNA from Calidris pugnax (ruff), 761 nucleotides. RefSeq lists it as uncharacterized. The transcript is spliced from 4 exons. Lineage: Eukaryota; Metazoa; Chordata; Aves; Charadriiformes; Scolopacidae. The record is from RefSeq and is a predicted model, not a curated record.
UGUCAUCUAGCCAGUGGACAAAGAUGUGCAUUCAGAAGCUGCACCUUCCUUUUGGUACCAGGAGUUAUUCUAAUAACUCCUUAGAAAAGUAACUCUUCAGCAAAAUGUUACAUAGGUCUGAUACGUGCAGCCGUUUCUGAUCCACCAUGGAGUAAACAGAGCCUUAAGAAGAAAGCUUGGAUUGUGGAGAUGAUUGAGCCAGGAGAUCAACAGAAGAAGCUGUAGACUUAAAGAAAAAGCAGAUGAAACAGUAAAAAGAGCAGAGGUUUUUCUAUAGUUUGUAAAAGACUCUAGAACAAUCAGAGUGACUGAUUUAAAGCACUUCAAAGCAAUGCUGUGGUGGACUACAACGCUGGGACACUAUAAUGGACUAUAAUGGAAUGAAUGAAAAGGAAUGAGAGGGAGACCCCAGCACAAAUUCAAGUUCAGAAAAAUACAUAUAACCACAAAAUGGGUGACAGUGGUGACAUACAGGGACCAAGAUUUCCUCUCAUGUACUGCCCAGAGAAGUAUUGUCUCCUUAUUUUCAAUUACAGUUCAACCUUCAGCUGUUGUUGUUUUUUUCUGCCUUCUGUAGCCUUGCUCAAGACAUGACUUCUAUACAAAAUACUGUGAGGGUACUCUGGUGAACUUUCCUUUGAUAUUUCUUCCACUAUAAGAAAGAAUUACUGGAUUUAUUCUUCUAUAAUGGUGAAACCUGCUUGAAAAUGCCCUGGCACAUAUAGGAAUAAUUUAUUUUGCUCCAGUUAACAUGUGGAGCU